RNAcentral lists this ribosomal RNA (1001 nucleotides) under Corynebacterium sp. RNAcentral describes it as "partial 23S ribosomal RNA". It matches the Rfam family "Bacterial large subunit ribosomal RNA", at positions 1110 to 1996 of the family's 2925-position model. Lineage: Bacteria; Bacillati; Actinomycetota; Actinomycetes; Mycobacteriales; Corynebacteriaceae. The record is from RNAcentral.
AAGCAGCCAUCCUUGAAAGAGUGCGUAAUAGCUCACUGGUCGAGUGGUUCUGCGCCGACAAUGUAGUGGGGCUCAAGUACACCGCCGAAGCCGCGGCAACUUUUUUAAGUUGGGUAGGGGAGCGUCGUGCAUGGGGUGAAGCGUUACCGUAAGGAGGCGUGGACUGUGUGCGAGUGAGAAUGCAGGCAUGAGUAACGAAUUGAUAGGUGAGAAUCCUAUCCGCCGGAUGACUAAGGGUUCCUGGGUCAAGUUCGUCUUCCCAGGGUGAGUCGGGACCUAAGGCGAGGCCGACAGGCGUAGUCGAUGGAUAACCAGUUGAUAUUCUGGUACCCGUACAUGCGCGCCCAUGAUAAAGCACUGAUACUAACCACCGCGGAUGCAUUGCUGGUCUUCUUUGAAGUCUGGUGGUGUUGAUGUCGUGGGGCCUGAUGUGUGGUUCAAGUGAUGGGGUGACGCAGUGAGGUAGCCACGCCACUUAUUGGAUUGGUGGUGUAAGCGUGCAGACCGUGUGGUAGGUAAAUCCGCCGCACUUUUGGUUGAGGCGUGAUGCGUAGACCCAUUGGGGUUGAUGGUGGUGAUCCUGUACUGUCGAGAAAAGCCUCUAGCGAUGUGUGUGUAUGGCCCGUACCCUAAACCGACACAGGUGGUCAGGUUGAAAAUACUAAGGCGUUCGGGUGAACUGUGGUUAAGGAAUUCGGCAAAAUGCCCCCGUAACUUCGGGAGAAGGGGGGCCCUACGAUGUGAGCACUCUUGCGGUGUUAAGCGUUGUGGGGUCGCAGAGAAUAGAGGGAAGCGACUGUUUAUCAAAAACACAGGUCCAUGCGAAGACGUUAAGUUGAUGUAUAUGGACUGACGCCUGCCCGGUGCUGGAAGGUUAAGAGGACCGGUUAGUCAACGUUGUUGGCGAAGCUGAGAAUUUAAGCCCCAGUAAACGGCGGUGGUAACUAUAACCAUCCUAAGGUAGCGAAAUUCCUUGUCGGGUAAGUUCCGACCUGCACGAA